RNAcentral lists this ribosomal RNA (1513 nucleotides) under Rummeliibacillus pycnus. RNAcentral's name for it is "bacterial SSU rRNA". The stretch from base 1 to 922 matches the Rfam family "Bacterial small subunit ribosomal RNA", at positions 537 to 1533 of the family's 1533-position model. The record is from RNAcentral. Lineage: Bacteria; Bacillati; Bacillota; Bacilli; Caryophanales; Caryophanaceae.
GGGAGAGUGCGGAUUUUGGGCGUAAGCGCGCGCAGGUGGUUUCUUAAGUCUGAUGUGAAAGCCCACGGCUCAACCGUGGAGGGUCAUUGGAAACUGGGAGACUUGAGUGCAGAAGAGGAAAGUGGAAUUCCAAGUGUAGCGGUGAAAUGCGUAGAGAUUUGGAGGAACACCAGUGGCGAAGGCGACUUUCUGGUCUGUAACUGACGCUGAGGCGCGAAAGCAUGGGGAGCAAACAGGAUUAGAUACCCUGGUAGUCCAUGCCGUAAACGAUGAGUGCUAAGUGUUAGGGGGUUUCCGCCCCUUAGUGCUGCAGCUAACGCAUUAAGCACUCCGCCUGGGGAGUACGACCGCAAGGUUGAAACUCAAAGGAAUUGACGGGGGCCCGCACAAGCGGUGGAGCAUGUGGUUUAAUUCGAAGCAACGCGAAGAACCUUACCAGGUCUUGACAUCCCAGUGACCGCUCUAGAGAUAGAGUUUUCCCUUCGGGGACAUUGGUGACAGGUGGUGCAUGGUUGUCGUCAGCUCGUGUCGUGAGAUGUUGGGUUAAGUCCCGCAACGAGCGCAACCCUUAAUCUUAGUUGCCAUCAUUUAGUUGGGCACUCUAAGGUGACUGCCGGUGACAAACCGGAGGAAGGUGGGGAUGACGUCAAAUCAUCAUGCCCCUUAUGACCUGGGCUACACACGUGCUACAAUGGACGGUACAAAGAGUCGCUAACUCGCGAGAGCACGCUAAUCUCAUAAAACCGUUCUCAGUUCGGAUUGUAGGCUGCAACUCGCCUACAUGAAGCCGGAAUCGCUAGUAAUCGCGGAUCAGCAUGCCGCGGUGAAUACGUUCCCGGGCCUUGCGGGUGAGUAACACGUGGGCAACCUGCCCUGUAGACUGGGAUAACUUCGGGAAACCGGAGCUAAUACCGGAUAAUCCAUUUCACUUCAUGGUGAAAUGUUGAAAGGCGCUUUCGCGUCACUACAGGAUGGGCCCGCGGUGCAUUAGCUAGUUGGUGGGGUAACGGCCUACCAAGGCGACGAUGCAUAGCCGACCUGAGAGGGUGAUCGGCCACAUUGGGACUGAGACACGGCCCAAACUCCUACGGGAGGCAGCAGUAGGGAAUCUUCCACAAUGGACGAAAGUCUGAUGGAGCAACGCCGCGUGAGUGAUGAAGGUUUUCGGAUCGUAAAACUCUGUUGUAAGGGAAGAACAAGUACGUUAGGAAAUGAACGUACCUUGACGGUACCUUAUUAGAAAGCCACGGCUAACUACGUGCCAGCAGCCGCGGUAAUACGUAGGUGGCAAGCGUUGUCCGGAUUUAUUGGGCGUAAAGCGCGCGCAGGUGGUUUCUUAAGUCUGAUGUGAAAGCCCACGGCUCAACCGUGGAGGGUCAUUGGAAACUGGGAGACUUGAGUGCAGAAGAGGAAAGUGGAAUUCCAAGUGUAGCGGUGAAAUGCGUAGAGAUUUGGAGGAACACCAGUGGCGAAGGCGACUUUCUGGUCGUAACGACGUGAGCGAAGACGUGAA